AUAGCGUAUAUUAAAGUUGUUGCAGUUAAAAAGCUCGUAGUUGAACUUCAGACCUGGCUGGAUGGUCUGCCUAACGGUAUGUACUGUCCGGCUGGGCCUUACCUCUUGGUGAGCCAGCGUGCCCUUCACUGUGGUGCGUUGGGGAACCAGGACUUUUACCUUGAGAAAAUUAGAGUGUUCAAAGCAGGCCUAUGCCCGAAUACAUUAGCAUGGAAUAAUAAAAUAGGACGUGCGGUUCUAUUUUGUUGGUUUCUAGAGUCGCCGUAAUGAUUAAUAGGGAUAGUUGGGGGCAUUGGUAUUGAGUCGCUAGAGGUGAAAUUCUUGGAUUGACUCAAGACCAACUAUUG
This 347-nucleotide ribosomal RNA is filed under the name uncultured eukaryote. RNAcentral's name for it is "SSU rRNA". It matches the Rfam family "Eukaryotic small subunit ribosomal RNA", at positions 594 to 945 of the family's 1831-position model. The record is from RNAcentral.